RNAcentral lists this long non-coding RNA (465 nucleotides) under Rattus norvegicus (Norway rat). RNAcentral's name for it is "long non-coding RNA NONRATT005163". The record is from RNAcentral. Lineage: Eukaryota; Metazoa; Chordata; Mammalia; Rodentia; Muridae.
GGAAUUUCCACAAUCCUAGUAUUCAUAGGGAUUUUCUGCUAUGUGACUUUAUGGAUAUAUUCCCAAUGAAGUUGGGAAACCAACUAAUUAUAAACUUGUAUCACACUGAGAAAGUCUGCUCAAAUGUGGACUACUACAUAUAUCUUAAUUGUUCUGGGGGUGGGGAGACAUUGCUUCUUUCAAUAUCCUUGUGCUCACAUGGCUUGUAUCCAUUGUGACACAGGAUAUAGCUGUUAAAAUAACAAAUGAAAUAUUUCCACAUUGCAUCAUUCAUACAGUUUGAUUUUUUGUUCAUCAUAGACAUAUGGUAUAAGAAUUAAGUUUUCUCUUCAAAAACAUUCUUGACUCUCAUAAACUGUCCCUCUCACUUAAACUUAACAAUGUUACUAUAUGAGUAAUCAGCUUUACUAUGAUAUAUUUGCCUAUUAGAAACAUAAACUUAUCACCUACUCUGUUUCUCUCUCU